Molecule: ribosomal RNA, 293 nt
Filed under: uncultured bacterium
Lineage: Bacteria
Description: partial 16S ribosomal RNA
Rfam family: Archaeal small subunit ribosomal RNA
Source: RNAcentral
GUGCCAGCCGCUGCGGUAAUACCGGCAGCCCGAGUGAUGGCCGAUCUUAUUGGGCCUAAAGCGUCCGUAACUGGCUGUGCAAGUCCGUCGGGAAAUCCAUCAGCCCAACUGAUGGGCGUCCGGCGGAAACUGCACGGCUUGGGACCGGAAGACUCGAGAGGUACGUCCGGGGUAGGAGUGAAAUCCCGUAAUCCCGAACGGACCACCGAUGGCGAAAGCACUUCGAGAAAACGGAUCCGACAGUGAGGGACGAAAGCCAGGGUCUCCAACCGGAUUAGAAACCCCUGUAGUCC